CCUACGGGAGGCAGCAGUGGGGAAUAUUGCACAAUGGGCGCAAGCCUGAUGCAGCCAUGCCGCGUGUAUGAAGAAGGCCUUCGGGUUGUAAAGUACUUUCAGCGGGGAGGAAGGGAGUGAGGUUAAUAACCUCAUUCAUUGACGUUACCCGCAGAAGAAGCACCGGCUAACUCCGUGCCAGCAGCCGCGGUAAU
RNAcentral lists this ribosomal RNA (194 nucleotides) under uncultured bacterium. RNAcentral's name for it is "partial 16S ribosomal RNA". It matches the Rfam family "Bacterial small subunit ribosomal RNA", at positions 338 to 524 of the family's 1533-position model. The record is from RNAcentral.